RNAcentral lists this ribosomal RNA (411 nucleotides) under uncultured Sphingobacteriales bacterium. Its description in RNAcentral is "bacterial SSU rRNA". It matches the Rfam family "Bacterial small subunit ribosomal RNA", at positions 971 to 1382 of the family's 1533-position model. Lineage: Bacteria; Pseudomonadati; Bacteroidota; Sphingobacteriia; Sphingobacteriales. The record is from RNAcentral.
UUACCUGGGCUCGAACGUAAGAUGACUGUAGGUGAAAGCUUACAUCUCUUCGGAGCAUUUUACGAGGUGCUGCAUGGUUGUCGUCAGCUCGUGCCGUGAGGUGUCGGGUUAAGUCCCAUAACGAGCGCAACCCCUACCUUUAGCUGCCAUCAGGUUAAGCUGGGGACUCUAAAGGAACUGCCUACGCAAGUAGUGAGGAAGGCGGGGAUGACGUCAAAUCAGCACGGCCCUUACGUCCAGGACUACACACGUGCUACAAUGGCCGAUACAGAGGGCAGCUACCUGGUGACAGGAUGCAAAUCUCCAAAGUCGGUCUCAGUUCGGAUCGGAGUCUGCAACCCGACUCCGUGAAGUUGGAUUCGCUAGUAAUCGCGCAUCAGCCAUGGCGCGGUGAAUACGUUCCCGGGCCUU